CCUGGCGACCCUGGCCGGUGGGAACCACCCGAUCCCAUCCCGAACUCGACCGUGAAACCACCGCGCGCCCAUGAUCGUGUGAGACCUACUCACGCUACAGUCGGUCAUCGCCAGGC
Molecule: ribosomal RNA, 116 nt
Filed under: Lysobacteraceae bacterium
Lineage: Bacteria; Pseudomonadati; Pseudomonadota; Gammaproteobacteria; Lysobacterales; Lysobacteraceae
Source: RNAcentral